UACAGAGGGUGCAAGCGUUAAUCGGAAUUACUGGGCGUAAAGCGUGCGUAGACGGUUAUGUAAGUCGGGUGUGAAAGCCCCGGGCUCAACCUGGGAAUUGCAUUCGAGACUGCAUAGCUAGGGUGCGGAAGAGGGAAGCGGAAUUUCCGGUGUAGCGGUGAAAUGCGUAGAUAUCGGAAGGAACACCAGUGGCGAAAGCGGCUUCCUGGUCCAGCACCGACGUCAGGCACGAAAGCGUGGGGAGCAAACAGG
RNAcentral lists this ribosomal RNA (252 nucleotides) under uncultured bacterium. RNAcentral describes it as "partial 16S ribosomal RNA". It matches the Rfam family "Bacterial small subunit ribosomal RNA", at positions 524 to 776 of the family's 1533-position model. The record is from RNAcentral.